CUGAGUUUUGAGUGUAGUUUCUAGCUGGUACAGUGGAGGGUUUGUUUUCGGAUGUAGCUGCAUAUUUUUAUUCAAAUAGUUUAGCGAAAGCAACUGCCUUACUCAAGUUUCUAGGCUCCAUGGCUUGCAUAUAAUAGUCAUUAACAGAAGCAGAUUGUUGUAAUUUAAACAAGGUAGCACGAGGGCAAUCAUAAGCUGAAAGGCCAAAAUAAAGUUCAAGAGCUCUAGUAAGAGCUGUCCAAGACAGGAAUGGGUGGCUAAAUUGUCUACUGGUGACUCUAGAUAUGACAGAACAGGAUGAAUCAUCAAUCACCGCAUACGAUGCAACUGUUAAAGAUACGGAGGUUUUUUGAUCUGUAUGGAGUUGGCUCAUGUAAAGCCUUUGAAACACCCAACAUUGUAAAGGAACUUGAUCUAUAGGUGAGUACCUGCUAAACUGUGUUUAUUCAAAAUAAAUAUUACAUAAUCUGUUAUUUCUUGCUUCUGUGGUAAUAUAUCUGUAACGGAUAAAGUGGAUUCUAGGGACGAACAGCU
Molecule: long non-coding RNA, 534 nt
Organism: Trifolium pratense (red clover)
Lineage: Eukaryota; Viridiplantae; Streptophyta; Magnoliopsida; Fabales; Fabaceae
Exons: 3
Source: RefSeq, a predicted model, not a curated record